CUGGAGGGAGGAGGGGCCCUGCCGAAGGCCCCGAUUGGCUGCUGCCAGCUGAGCGGCAGGUGCCUGGCCCGGAGAUGCUGCAGAUUUUCUGGCAGACCAGACGGGCUGAGCGCCAGCGAGCGGACAGGGAGGGGCAGGGCAGCUCGUUCCUCGCCCGGCAGAGACAGCAAGACAGAGGAGCGAUCAAAGUCCUUUGGAAAGGAGGAGGAUGGCCGAGAACCGUCCCAGAACACAAGCCCUCGGUCCCAAGUUGCAGUAUAGGGACAAGAGAGCAUCCUGCCAGCUACGGUUUCCAGUCUGUGUCUUUGCCNCUUGCUGAUUUGUCAGAAGCACAAGGAAAAACCGGUCAACGAUGUCGGCAGAGAGAAACGCAAAGCAGGAUGGCCAUAAAAGAGGACAUUUGCUGCCCUCAGAUGAAAACUGAGGGUAGGGGGCCAAUCAAGACCAGACCCCUCCCUUUUGCCGCGGUGUUCCGCCUUUAAACAGGAAGGGGCUGAGAGCCCCACCUACAGGGCUGCCUAGCCAGCACAUUGACUUUCGUCUUGGGGAAGGAGGGGGGACUUCCGCAUUUCCACUCUGCUGCCAGACCACCACCCUGUCCAAGAUGCAGCCCGGCCUGCCUCCUUCUGGGGCUCAGUGGGGGGGCAGGGAAGGCUGCAGGGCCUGCCUGGCAGCAGCUCCAGGUCCAGGCAGGAUUCCGAAUCUUUCAGCAGCCAAGCAGGGCCCUGGCCCACCCUCUCCACAGCCAACCGAGCUCGCUCGAGCAAGUAGAAGCGAGGCUGGGAGGGGCCACUGCNUCCAAGAAGUGCGGGAGCAGGGGGGCCCUUGGGAAUACGGUCACUAGAGGCCGGGAGAGCCACAGAGGCNGGCUGGCGGCUGAAAGGCCCCUCCCGUUGGCUCCCACGCGAAACUGAGAUCNCGGUUGCAACAGGACGGGGCGCUGCCCAACUGUUCCGAGAAGUCAGGGCCAUUGCGGGAGCCUGGCAGCGAUGGACACGCAAAGUCCNGAUCCAGCGGCCCACUGACUCUUUGCAAAGCACGGGGUGCUUCAGCAGCUUCUGGGGUACAAUGGUAGCAGCAGUUANGAGAUUGGGCGACCCAGAAGCUGCAGCAAAGCAAAGCAAGGGCUGCUGUCGCAGCCUCAGGGAAUGAGGCCUGGAAACCACUUGCUGGAUGCGUGCCAGCCGAGACCUGCCCAAACUGCAGCUCGAGGAGCCAUCAGCCGGAGACAGGAAAACUGAGGAUGUCCCCAGAUGGGAUAUGUUCAGAGUCGUAGAGCUGGAAGGGACUCCAGGGUCAUCGAGUCC
Molecule: long non-coding RNA, 1307 nt
Filed under: Salvator merianae (Argentine black and white tegu)
Lineage: Eukaryota; Metazoa; Chordata; Lepidosauria; Squamata; Teiidae
Description: lncRNA (ENSSMRG00000001273.1)
Source: RNAcentral